CAGCCGCCACGGUAAUACAUAGGGUGCGAGCGUUAAUCGGAAUUACUGGGCGUAAAGCGUGCGCAGGCGGUUUUGUAAGACAGGCGUGAAAUCCCCGGGCUCAACCUGGGAAUGGCGCUUGUGACUGCAAAGCUAGAGUGCGGCAGAGGGGGAUGGAAUUCCGCGUGUAGCAGUGAAAUGCGUAGAUAUGCGGAGGAACACCGAUGGCGAAGGCAAUCCCCUGGGCCUGCACUGACGCUCAUGCACGAAAGCGUGGGGAGCAAACAGGAUUAGAUACCCGAGUAGUCCCUGUCUCUUAUAC
Molecule: ribosomal RNA, 301 nt
Filed under: uncultured bacterium
Lineage: Bacteria
Description: partial 16S ribosomal RNA
Rfam family: Bacterial small subunit ribosomal RNA
Source: RNAcentral